AGAGUAAAAACAUGGACAUAAAAGUAAACUGCAAUAUCCUUUCUCUUUCUUCCAUUCUCAUUUUCCUAUUUUAAAGAAACUUCCACCCAUAUUUUUUUGGAAUGACUAUAAUCAACAAUUGUAUGACCUUUACAGGAUUGUGUACGAAGAUUAUGAAACCGACGAUACUGUGGGCAGUAUGCAAGAUGAUGGGUCAAGCAAAACUAGGCCGUCAAAGAAAUGUGCAGUGUCACCUGGGAUUAUGAAUUGAAGAACAGAGUGGAGCUGCAGACAACCUCCAUUAAAACAAGACUGUUCAGGUUGAUUGAUAGAAGCCUGCCAUAUGUCACAAUCAAAAUAGUUGCUGCCAUUGUUGGCUUUUCAAUUUUAUGUUUUGCAUUACAAGUAAUUUAAAAACAAUUUUAGUGCUA
Molecule: long non-coding RNA, 410 nt
Organism: Erigeron canadensis
Lineage: Eukaryota; Viridiplantae; Streptophyta; Magnoliopsida; Asterales; Asteraceae
Exons: 2
Source: RefSeq, a predicted model, not a curated record